UCUCUUCUUAGGAAUCUAUUUUUCAGAAAUUAUAUUUUUAGAAGAAAAAAUGUUUUUCGCGAACCAAACAAGCCUAGGGUAAUUGGCAAAGCCUUGCCCAGAUCAAGACACUCACAGCUUAUACCGCUACUCCUAGGAGAUGAUGGGACUGUUCCACCCACUGCUUUGUCAUAGCUCAUACAUAGUAUCGUGUCGUAUACUCGUAUGGUCCUGCUCCUCCAAGGAGAUCACGGGAUUGUUCCACACACUGCUUCGUCAUAGCGCAUACACGUGAUGCUAUACGUGUGGUAUGGUCCUAGUGAUGUCUACAAGGAGGAAUGUUUUAUUAUGAAGAAGAUAUAUAUUAGGUUCAAUUCCACUGCCUGGUAUUUUUUGAGAUAAACCGUUAUAUGUUUCUGAGGUUCCGGAGUUGAAAACCAAAAGCCGCAGUCAGCACCGUGGUCUCCACCCUCCUUUUGUCCAUAUAAAGUAGCAAACCUUUGUCAUGGGGGCAGUAAUCAAUCCUCCUUUUGUCCUCGUCCAAGAUACUCUUUUUAUUUAUUAUUUAUUUAUCCCCCUUCA
RNAcentral lists this long non-coding RNA (561 nucleotides) under Phoenix dactylifera (date palm). Its description in RNAcentral is "long non-coding RNA (PDAC_LNC001979)". The record is from RNAcentral. Lineage: Eukaryota; Viridiplantae; Streptophyta; Magnoliopsida; Arecales; Arecaceae.